RNAcentral lists this long non-coding RNA (998 nucleotides) under Elaeis guineensis (African oil palm). RNAcentral describes it as "long non-coding RNA (EGUI_LNC005930)". The record is from RNAcentral. Lineage: Eukaryota; Viridiplantae; Streptophyta; Magnoliopsida; Arecales; Arecaceae.
AUAAUUGUCGGGACGGGAUGGGAUGGCGAGACGGCCCGUUCCAUGGAGAAACCAAGACACCUUUGUCCCAAGGGAUUUAAAACCUUGCCUACACGUUUAUUUGGUGCUUAAAGAUAUCAUCGUUGUGGUUGUAGAGAUUAUAAGUAAUAGUUAAGACUAAAAUAUGUGUCUCACCUGAGACAACCCAACUACUAUAGGACAGCUUCAUGUGCAUUUUGGUUCUGGAGAAAGGCUACGAGUCAAAAUCUUGAUCAAAAGACAUAUAAGCAUUUUCAGGUCUACAUGACGUCUUUUGAGUAUUUGAAUUUAGGUGAUACAUAUCAUUUUAUUAAAAGCAUUAAUUAUGUGAAAUUUGGACAACAGGAAAUUGAACGCACCCAAAGUAACAGAGGAACAUGCCAAAUGUUUGGAACAUCAUGGAUUUUAAGAAUAUUAGCAACCUAUUGAGUACAAGUAGAAUUCCAAUGAUGAGACCACUGAAGAUUAAAGAGUCACAAAGCACUUGUAAGCACAAAAGCUCACGGGGACAUAACAAUAUUGUGAAAGUUUCUCUUUCAUGCUUUCCUGUAAAGGCUGAAAAUUUAUAGAAAAGUAGAUUCUUCUGGGGCUAAAACUUAAAAUAAAAUUCAAGAAAAAGAAAAAGAUCAAGCACGGAGAGAAAGAAGUGGCAACUUAAAGAAAUUUCUAGAUUCAUGGUGUCUCAGGACCUAUAAGAUUAAAAGCUAAGAAAUACUAAAGAUGGCAUCAUUGACUGCAAAAGAUAUGUGGCAAUUAAGUUUGAGACAAAAAAACAAAAAGGAAGAAUUUCAGGGAGGCAAGUUAACAGGAUCUAGAGAUCAAUAUUCGAUAAAUAAGCAGAUGAUAAGUCCAAAAAUGCUAAAAGUAGAGUCAGCUAUCAGGCAAUCCCAAAUGGAAGAAUCUAUAUCUAUAUGGAAAAAACUUAUGCACAAAAUGGAGGUCAUAAAUAAAUUGCUCAACCAUGACCAACAUAAGAAAAC